GAUGAACGCUGGCGGCGUGCCUAAUACAUGCAAGUCGAGCGGACGGACGAGAAGCUUGCUUCUCUGAUGUUAGCGGCGGACGGGUGAGUAACACGUGGAUAACCUACCUAUAAGACUGGGAUAACUUCGGGAAACCGUAGCUAAUACCGGAUAAUAUUUUGAACCGCAUGGUUCAAAAGUGAAAGACGGUCUUGCUGUCACUUAUAGAUGGAUCCGCGCUGCAUUAGCUAGUUGGUAAGGUAACGGCUUACCAAGGCGACGAUGCAUAGCCGACCUGAGAGGGUGAUCAGUCACACUGGAACUGAGACACGGUCCAGACUCCUACGGGAGGCAGCAGUAGGGAAUCUUCCGCAAUGGGCGAAAGCCUGACGGAGCAACGCCGCGUGAGUGAUGAAGGUCUUCGGAUCGUAAAGCUCUGUUAUUAGGGAAGAACAUAUGUGUAAGUAACUGUGCACAUCUUGACGGUACCUAAUCAGAAAGCCACGGCUAACUACGUG
RNAcentral lists this ribosomal RNA (497 nucleotides) under uncultured bacterium. RNAcentral describes it as "partial 16S ribosomal RNA". It matches the Rfam family "Bacterial small subunit ribosomal RNA", at positions 28 to 507 of the family's 1533-position model. The record is from RNAcentral.